GGAGCAGGGCAUCACAUGGGGCAGUAAAGGCUGGUGCCCAGGUGCCAGCACUAGCAGUGCCCAUGCCCUGUGAUGUGCCACUCUGACUGAGGAGCAGAGUCUUGCCAAGGUCACUGCUGAUUAACUGAAAGACAGAAUAGAGAAGGAAAGUAAAUGAAACAUUGGACUGAAUGACUCUCUACAGCACCUGAAGCGUUGGCAAGCUGAUUGAGUUCUCAGUAACAGUGUCCAGUUACCUGGUACCUGCCAGCUAACCCAUGCCACAGCUGCAGGUUGUCAUCCCAGCCCCUUCAUGGUGCUGUCCCUCUCCAUAUUCCUGACCUAGACUGACCUUGCCCCAGCCAUUGUCAUCACAAUGAAAAGAAAUAAAAAGAAUAAACCCAGGUGUUGCAAAGGAAUGUCUGUGGUUUGCUUUUGCCCUUAUUCCCUCAAGAUGUUGAAGUAUACAAGGUCCUGUUCAGAGGACCUUGCAUGAAAAUACUCUUGACACAAAGUU
Molecule: long non-coding RNA, 496 nt
Organism: Passer domesticus (house sparrow)
Lineage: Eukaryota; Metazoa; Chordata; Aves; Passeriformes; Passeridae
Exons: 2
Source: RefSeq, a predicted model, not a curated record